Molecule: long non-coding RNA, 456 nt
Filed under: Bemisia tabaci
Lineage: Eukaryota; Metazoa; Arthropoda; Insecta; Hemiptera; Aleyrodidae
Description: lncRNA ENSASIAIIG002562
Source: RNAcentral
GUAGAGUCAGUCCUCUGCCAAAUUUCUUGAUCCGUAGUUCGAUGUUGGUUUUCACAGGGAUGUUCCUCUUGGCCGUUGCGGCUGAGGUCGGUGGGCGCCCUGACAUUCUGCCAAACGGUGAAGUGCUCCAAGUUGAAGACGAGUUUGCAGCGGUGCGCAAUAGUGCGGAUCCAACGUUACGGCGGAAGAAAUACAUGCUGAAGAAUAAGGAGAAAUUGUGGGGAGGAGCAGUUGUCACUUUCAAAAUGCGGGAUCUCAUAUGGACCUCCGUUCAACACUCGUACCGAACAGUGCACGACGCUAUGCGCGACAUCAUGCAAAAAACCUGCCUUCGAUUUAAAGAGAGGAGUGGGGAACCAGACUACGUGUACAUCGAUUACGAAUUUUUGCUAGCGUAAGUUCAACGAAUUUGUUUGACUUUACAGAACUUUACCUUUAGAAUGGCUGACCAAUCCA